UAGGGAGUAGUGUAAAUAGGAAACACGAAGAGUUUUGAUCUCUUARAUAUAGGUUCAAAUCCUAUUUUUCUAG
RNAcentral lists this transfer RNA (73 nucleotides) under Triaenodon obesus (whitetip reef shark). RNAcentral describes it as "tRNA-Gln". The record is from RNAcentral. Lineage: Eukaryota; Metazoa; Chordata; Chondrichthyes; Carcharhiniformes; Carcharhinidae.